Molecule: ribosomal RNA, 1623 nt
Filed under: Erwinia amylovora
Lineage: Bacteria; Pseudomonadati; Pseudomonadota; Gammaproteobacteria; Enterobacterales; Erwiniaceae
Description: bacterial LSU rRNA
Rfam family: Bacterial large subunit ribosomal RNA
Source: RNAcentral
GUUGGGUAGGGGAGCGUUCUGUAAGCCGUCGAAGGUGUGCUGUGAGGCAUGCUGGAGGUAUCAGAAGUGCGAAUGCUGACAUAAGUAACGAUAAAGCGGGUGAAAAGCCCGCUCGCCGGAAGACCAAGGGUUCCUGUCCAACGUUAAUCGGGGCAGGGUGAGUCGACCCCUAAGGCGAGGCCGAAAGGCGUAGUCGAUGGGAAACGGGUUAAUAUUCCCGUACUGGGUGUUACUGCGAAGGGGGGACGGAGAAGGCUAUGUUAGCCGGGCGACGGUUGUCCCGGUUUAAGCGUGCAGGCUUGAGUUCCAGGCAAAUCCGGAACUCUUUAAGGCUGAGGCGUGAUGACGAGGCACCACGGUGCUGAAGUAACAAAUGCCCUGCUUCCAGGAAAAGCCUCUAAGCAUCAGGUAACAUCCAAUCGUACCCCAAACCGACACAGGUGGUCAGGUAGAGAAUACCAAGGCGCUUGAGAGAACUCGGGUGAAGGAACUAGGCAAAAUGGUGCCGUAACUUCGGGAGAAGGCACGCUGGCGCGUAGGUGAAGCGACUUGCUCGUGGAGCUGAAGCCAGUCGAAGAUACCAGCUGGCUGCAACUGUUUAUUAAAAACACAGCACUGUGCAAACACGAAAGUGGACGUAUACGGUGUGACGCCUGCCCGGUGCCGGAAGGUUAAUUGAUGGGGUUAUCCGCAAGGAGAAGCUCUUGAUCGAAGCCCCGGUAAACGGCGGCCGUAACUAUAACGGUCCUAAGGUAGCGAAAUUCCUUGUCGGGUAAGUUCCGACCUGCACGAAUGGCGUAAUGAUGGCCAGGCUGUCUCCACCCGAGACUCAGUGAAAUUGAACUCGCUGUGAAGAUGCAGUGUACCCGCGGCAAGACGGAAAGACCCCGUGAACCUUUACUACAGCUUGACACUGAACAUUGAGCCUUGAUGUGUAGGAUAGGUGGGAGGCUUCGAAGCGUGGACGCCAGUCUGCGUGGAGCCAACCUUGAAAUACCACCCUUUAACGUUUGAUGUUCUAACCUGGCGCCGUUACCCGGCGUGGGGACAGUGUCUGGUGGGUAGUUUGACUGGGGCGGUCUCCUCCCAAAGAGUAACGGAGGAGCACGAAGGUCAGCUAAUCACGGUCGGACAUCGUGAGGUUAGUGCAAUGGCAUAAGCUGGCUUGACUGCGAGAGUGACGGCUCAAGCAGGUGCGAAAGCAGGUCAUAGUGAUCCGGUGGUUCUGAAUGGAAGGGCCAUCGCUCAACGGAUAAAAGGUACUCCGGGGAUAACAGGCUGAUACCGCCCAAGAGUUCAUAUCGACGGCGGUGUUUGGCACCUCGAUGUCGGCUCAUCACAUCCUGGGGCUGAAGUAGGUCCCAAGGGUACGGCUGUUCGCCGUUUAAAGUGGUACGCGAGCUGGGUUUAGAACGUCGUGAGACAGUUCGGUCCCUAUCUGCCGUGGGCGCUGGAAGAUUGAGAGGGGUUGCUCCUAGUACGAGAGGACCGGAGUGAACGCACCGCUGGUGUUCGGGUUGUCAUGCCAAUGGCAUUGCCCGGUAGCUAAGUGCGGAAAAGAUAAGCGCUGAAAGCAUCUAAGCGCGAAACUUGCCUCGAGAUGAAUCUUCCCUGACUCCUUGA